This 497-nucleotide ribosomal RNA is filed under the name uncultured bacterium. RNAcentral's name for it is "partial 16S ribosomal RNA". It matches the Rfam family "Bacterial small subunit ribosomal RNA", at positions 28 to 507 of the family's 1533-position model. The record is from RNAcentral.
GACGAACGCUGGCGGCGUGCCUAAUACAUGCAAGUUGAGCGAUGAAGAUUGGUGCUUGCACCAAUUUGAAGAGCAGCGAACGGGUGAGUAACGCGUGGGGAAUCUGCCUUUGAGCGGGGGACAACAUUUGGAAACGAAUGCUAAUACCGCAUAACAACUUUAAACAUAAGUUUUAAGUUUGAAAGAUGCAAUUGCAUCACUCAAAGAUGAUCCCGCGUUGUAUUAGCUAGUUGGUGAGGUAAAGGCUCACCAAGGCGAUGAUACAUAGCCGACCUGAGAGGGUGAGCGGCCACACUGGGACUGGGACACGGCCCAAAAUCCUACGGGAGGCAGCAGUAGGGAAUCUUCGGCAAUGGACGAAAGUCUGACCGAGCAACGCCGCGUGAGUGAAGAAGGUUUUCGGAUCGUAAAACUUUGUUGGUAGAGAAGAACGUUUGUGAGAGUGGAAAGCUCAUCAAGUGACGGUAACUACCCAGAAAGGGACGGCUAACUACGUG